RNAcentral lists this long non-coding RNA (532 nucleotides) under Homo sapiens (human). RNAcentral describes it as "non-protein coding lnc-MMP7-1:1". The record is from RNAcentral. Lineage: Eukaryota; Metazoa; Chordata; Mammalia; Primates; Hominidae.
CAUCCUAGAGUGUACUUACACAAACCUAGAUGGUAUUGCUUACUACCCACUUAGGCUAUAUGGUAUACCCUGUUGCUCCUAUAGCUCCUACAGACCUAUACAACAUGAUACUGUACUGAAUACUGUAGGCAAUUGUGAUACAAUGCUACGACGAAAGGAAAAGGAAAAUGGAAAAAGACUAUCCAAAGAAUACUGAAGAAGAAUUUUCAGGAGUAAAUGGCCAAAUCGAUGCUGCUGUAGAAUUAAAUGGCUACAUUUACUUCUUUUCAGGACCAAAAACAUACAAGUAUGACACAGAGAAGGAAGAUGUGGUUAGUGUGGUGAAAUCUAGUUCCUGGAUUGGUUGCUAAAUAGAAAAGCCUAGUCUUCUCAAGCAAUGAGGAUGACUACAAGCAGCCUCUAACUGGAUCUUAAGGACUAAAGCAGAAUGUAGGAGAGGGAUUCUUCCAAAGGCCUUCAAAUCAAAUUAGAAUUCACUGAGAAUAAUAAUACUUCCAAUUUUUUUCAUAGUUGUAUAAUCAGAAUUUCAAUC